CGGGGUGAGUAGUGUCUGGGAAACUGCCUGAUGGAGGGGGAUAACUACUGGAAACGGUAGCUAAUACCGCAUAACGUCUUCGGACCAAAGUGGGGGACCUUCGGGCCUCACGCCAUCGGAUGUGCCCAGAUGGGAUUAGCUAGUAGGUGGGGUAAUGGCUCACCUAGGCGACGAUCCCUAGCUGGUCUGAGAGGAUGACCAGCCACACUGGAACUGAGACACGGUCCAG
This 229-nucleotide ribosomal RNA is filed under the name uncultured bacterium. RNAcentral describes it as "partial 16S ribosomal RNA". It matches the Rfam family "Bacterial small subunit ribosomal RNA", at positions 104 to 334 of the family's 1533-position model. The record is from RNAcentral.